AUGCACGCUGGCGGCGUGCCUCAUACAUGCAAGUCGAGCGAACAGACGAGGAGCUUGCUCCUCUGACGUUAGCGGCGGACGGGUGAGUAACACGUGGAUAACCUACCUAUAGACUGGGAUAACUUCGGGAAACCGGAGCUAAUACCGGAUAAUAUAUUGAACCGCAUGGUUCAAUAGUGAAAGACGGUUUUGCUGUCACUUAUAGAUGGAUCCGCGCCGCAUUAGCUAGUUGGUAAGGUAACGGCUUACCAAGGCGACGAUGCGUAGCCGACCUGAGAGGGUGAUCGGCCACACUGGAACUGAGACACGGUCCAGACUCCUACGGGAGGCAGCAGUAGGGAAUCUUCCGCAAUGGGCGAAAGCCUGACGGAGCAACGCCGCGUGAGUGAUGAAGGUCUUCGGAUCGUAAAACUCUGUUAUUAGGGAAGAACAAAUGUGUAAGUAACUAUGCACGUCUUGACGGUACCUAAUCAGAAAGCCACGGCUAACUACGUG
This 495-nucleotide ribosomal RNA is filed under the name uncultured bacterium. RNAcentral describes it as "partial 16S ribosomal RNA". It matches the Rfam family "Bacterial small subunit ribosomal RNA", at positions 29 to 507 of the family's 1533-position model. The record is from RNAcentral.